UGCAGUCGAACGAUGAUGCCCAGCUUGCUGGGUGGAUUAGUGGCGAACGGGUGAGUAACACGUGAGUAACCUGCCCUUGACUUCGGGAUAACUCCGGGAAACCGGGGCUAAUACCGGAUAUGAGCUGCCUUCGCAUGGGGGUGGUUGGAAAGUUUUUCGGUCAGGGAUGGGCUCGCGGCCUAUCAGCUUGUUGGUGGGGUGAUGGCCUACCAAGGCGACGACGGGUAGCCGGCCUGAGAGGGCGACCGGCCACACUGGGACUGAGACACGGCCCAGACUCCUACGGGAGGCAGCAGUGGGGAAUAUUGCACAAUGGGCGAAAGCCUGAUGCAGCGACGCCGCGUGAGGGAUGAAGGCCUUCGGGUUGUAAACCUCUUUCAGCAGGGAAGAAGCGCAAGUGACGGUACCUGCAGAAGAAGCGCCGGCUAACUACGUGCCAGCAGCCGCGGUAAUACGUAGGGCGCAAGCGUUGUCCGGAAUUAUUGGGCGUAAAGAGCUCGUAGGCGGUUUGUCGCGUCUGGUGUGAAAACUCGAGGCUCAACCUCGAGCUUGCAUCGGGUACGGGCAGACUAGAGUGCGGUAGGGGAGACUGGAAUUCCUGGUGUAGCGGUGGAAUGCGCAGAUAUCAGGAGGAACACCGAUGGCGAAGGCAGGUCUCUGGGCCGCAACUGACGCUGAGGAGCGAAAGCAUGGGGAGCGAACAGGAUUAGAUACCCUGGUAGUCCAUGCCGUAAACGUUGGGCACUAGGUGUGGGGCUCAUUCCACGAGUUCCGUGCCGCAGCAAACGCAUUAAGUGCCCCGCCUGGGGAGUACGGCCGCAAGGCUAAAACUCAAAGGAAUUGACGGGGGCCCGCACAAGCGGCGGAGCAUGCGGAUUAAUUCGAUGCAACGCGAAGAUCUUACCAAGGCUUGACAUGCACGGGAAGUCCACCAGAGAUGGUGGUCUCUUUGGACACUCGUGCACAGGUGGUGCAUGGUGUCGUCAGCUC
Molecule: ribosomal RNA, 990 nt
Filed under: Cellulosimicrobium cellulans
Lineage: Bacteria; Bacillati; Actinomycetota; Actinomycetes; Micrococcales; Promicromonosporaceae
Description: bacterial SSU rRNA
Rfam family: Bacterial small subunit ribosomal RNA
Source: RNAcentral